UUGGCCACGCGAUCGCGAUCGGACGGUGGCCGCGAUGCAGCGUUGACAUCGAACCGAGUAGGUAGUUUCCGGGGUACACCUAUGACCUAUCCACAACGAGAGAGAGAGAGAGUUCCCCAUUUCUGCCCCAGCUCCAUCGCCUUGUCUCCACCGAAUCCCUCCUCCUCCGCGGCAGAUUUCGUCGAUCCGCGCCGUCGUGGGCGAGAUUGGAUGGAGCUACUACCGGGGAGCGGCGCUCCUUGCUGCUCGUCAUCGGUAGCAUCUACAUCCUCCCGCCAACAUUGUCGGUGAUGGACGAGAUUCGGGCGUCAUUCGUGAGGGGACGAUCUACCACGCAGUGGUCUCGGUCGCCGCCCUGGCCGGCCCGCUGCACGCCAUUGUCGUCAUCAUCGACCUUCCCGUGCGUAGCUUCCACUGUUAUCCAUAGAGCCGACCAGCUAACCGUGGCGUGAACCAACCUGGCAGAGCGGCAGAGGAGCAGGUUGCCCGCCUCGAUUCGGCAGGAGGCGUGGUGCCUCGACGGCUCCGGACUGCCGCACCUGCCUGGUCUGGUUCGAUCAUCAGCAGUAUAGGUUGGAUUUUACAGCGGUUUUUGGCUGCUCCUCCGGCGAGGUUUUAUAGGACAGCGACGGUGUUCAUGAGGCUACAACUUCCUUCACGCACCAAUUGACAUCAGGUUAUUUGAUCAUUUUGUUAGGGGUUUUCUUUCGGUCUGCUGUCUUGUUCAGGGACCUGUCCCUUUGUUAGAUGUAAUCUAAUGGCUUAUUCUGUGGAUUACAUGGGAGUUGAUGUCAAUUAGAUGUCACUCAGAUUUAAGUGUCAACUAGAUGGAACUUCUUUUAUGUGUCUGAUGUCUGUACAAUGUUACUCAAGUAUGGAUUCAGCCAGAUAGUGAACUAGGUGGUACUUUCUCCCGUGUCAGAUGUUAGGUGUUGGAGAUUUUCAUAUUCUGUGUAGAUGUAACCCAGGUUUACCUCUUCAGUUAUAGCUUUGCACAUGCUAAACUCCAUGCAGACUGCUAGACGGAAGCUAGCUUGUCCUGUUGCAACAUUUUUUGUGAUUUAAACUUCUCGAUGAAAGCUAGAUGGAAGCUGUUAGUUGUAGCUUAUUCGACUUAAAAGAAGCUACUAUUGCAAUGUUUCUCCAUCUAUAUAUAUGGGACUAUCUCUGAAUUUACUACUCCCUCCAGUCCAUAAUAAGUAUCGUGACUUUAAUUUAAAUUUGAACGAAUUUGAACUAAAACCACGACACUAUAUGGAUUGGAGGGAGUAGUUUUUAUUUACAUGAUCGUGGGGAAAGUUACAGCUUGUUUCUACUUUCUAUUCUACUGAAAUUGCAUAGCAGAAAAUGCUCCCUUUUCCAUUGCAGUGCAAAAAAUGCUAAUUUUACAUGGUAUGUGAGAAAAGUUACACCUACUGAUAAAAUUUAUUUUUCUGCAUAGGAUUUGAUCUGUCAAAAAUAGUUGUAAAUACAAAUUCAAAUAUAAUCAAAGGAAGAAUAUGAAGGGGUAGGGUUAAAUGGAUGUAACAAGGUGGGGCUAAUGAGGGGCAGAUAUAUCUUUUGUAGUUACAUCAUCGAAAUUCUUGAGGUUAUGUUUCUAUAUACAAAUAGAUGUAAUUCAGAUACAGGAUGUUUUUUUUCUGCAUGUAGAUUUUGCACUGACAUGUAAAAGAUGUAAUUGCGAAUUUAAAUGUAAACGGCCUAAGGAGUAGUUCUUGCAACACAAAUCUGCAUAAAUACAACACAAAAGUUACUUCCCUCUCAAAACACAAAUUGUAAAAAGAAAUGAGUUUUUUUUGCAUAUGUUGUUCCUGUCAAUAUCUAUUUAUAAUAAACUAUUACAUCUGUAUGAAACUACAAAGUACAGUAUUAGCAAUUACAUCUUUUUUUCUGAGGUUAGUUGUUCUGUGUGUGAGGAGCAUUAAGGAUAUGCAAUGUAGGAAGAUAAUUUCAUAAUAUAAACAUUCAUCCUUAGCAAUCAGGGCAACAGAGAAGCAUAAACAUAGCUUCAUGAUCCUUUUUUCGUUCAGGUUAAAUGCAAACGUUCUAGCAUUAGUAGUUAAACCUUGGUUACUACUCUGCAUCCCCAUGUGGAUUACAUGUGAAUAACUGAAUAUACAGGGAAUCAAGUUUUUUUAUGCUCCGACACUGGUUUACAUUUUUUCCCCAAUGGUGCAAUGUAUCAUAAUUAGCAUGUUGCCCCUAGUUUGGUCACUUCUUCUGUACGUAUCCACUUUUGAGUCAACAUAUUUUGUGACAAGUGCUUUCUUUUCAUCUUGUUUAGCUAAUCAAAAUUACUAUGCAAGAUAGUAGGUGCAAUUUUUAAUCAUACUACAUGUAACCUAAUAUUUACGCUCCCAGUAAUAUAGUUGCCUUUUCCUGUGCAGAAUCCACCUGCUAAGUAGAUCAGAUGUAACCACUAAUUUAUUUUCUAUAUCUUUUACUCAAUCCACAUUACCAUGUAAUGUACUAGAUGCAGUUAUUAAUCAUACUUGAUGUAUGCUAGUAUUCAUGCUGCCUAGUAAUAUAAUUGCUUUUUCUACACAGAGUCCAUCCGAGGCAAAGUACAUGUAACUACUAAUUUCUCUCCUCUAUUAUUAUAGUCAAUCCACUAUUUUUUUACUAGAUUUCAUCUAAGGAUUAUGAUAGAUCAAAUUCGUUGCAGUCACGUCUUUUUUCAGUUAUUAAUAUUAACAGAUGUAACCAGUUGUCUUUUAUGCUUCCAGUAGUUUCUUCAUAUCCUGAAACUACUAUAUUUAUGUAAACUACAUGUAAUUACAGAACCCCAUAUAAACUACUGAUGAAGGAUGUGACUCAUGGCUACUUAUACCAAAAUUAGUUUCAUAAAAAAGGAUGUGACUAAUAUCACUGUCCUAGUACCCCAUGUUCAUUGCAUGUAACAUACCAGCUGUUUCAUCUACCCAUCAUGUACAUGUAAUUUUCCAUAUUCUUAUAUGUAAUAUUAUUGAUUUUUUUGGUCAUUACUCAUGCCAUGGAUGUAUCAAACCAUGGUUCUAGGAAAAGGACGAUGCAUGUAACUGUGGUAGCAUUGAGAAUGUCAUGGAUGGUGGAGGAACAAAAUCAACAGAUGUAGCAGAUCCUCAAGUAACAGAUGCAGCAGGAACAACACAUUGUAAAUGUAGCAGGAACAACACACUGUAAAAUGGAGAAGAAGGACAAUGCAUGUAACUGGGGUAGCAUUGAGAACAUGUCAUGGAUGGCGGAGGAGCAAAGUCAAACAGAUGUAGCAGAUCCCCAGGUAAUGUAGCAGGAACACGCUAUAACAUGGGGAAGAAGUACGAUGCAUGUAACUGGGUAGCAUUGAGAACACAUUAUGGAUAGUAGAGAAACAAAGUCAUUAGAUGUAGUAGAUCAUCAGGUAACAGAUGUAGCAGGAACAAGUUGUAGAUCUCCCUUUUGAUUCAGGAGGAACAGUCAGGGAUGUAGCAGAUCCUCCAGAAUUUGGGGCAAACCUACCUAGAUGUAAACGUCCUAUUCUUCCUCAAGUUAUUUGUAAGAGCGAGAUGCCCUCCAGAUUUGUUUUAGAAAGGGGGUCUCAUGUUGCGUUA
This is a long non-coding RNA of Lolium perenne, 3569 nucleotides long. RefSeq lists it as uncharacterized. Lineage: Eukaryota; Viridiplantae; Streptophyta; Magnoliopsida; Poales; Poaceae. The record is from RefSeq and is a predicted model, not a curated record.